UGUUUCCUCAUGCUCUCUUGUCAUCGUUACAUCAGGUUUAUCCGGUUUUUGUUUAACGCAUUUGUUGAUGAGUGGAAAGUUUUUCACUUCAUCCAUUGUCUUCUGGAAAUGGCAGGAAAAAGGGGUGAUAAUACCGAGUGGAGAUUAUGACACGUUCUACCUGAGAAAUGAAAUCAGUUGCUGACACAUCGUCUUGUCGUGGUGUCUUAAUUGUGAGUCAGACGGUAUUUCGAAGUGAUUGUGUGUCAAUAAGUCAAUUGAAAUAAAUCGAUUCAAGUUUAUUCAACGGAAAAUCGUCUGCACUCCUUCAUACGGAAUUUUUUCGGAAAAAGAGAGUAAACGGCAGGAAAUGUAUCUUAUAAACAGUAAAAGUUCACAUCUUCCAGGAAUUUCUCAUCUCCUGCCGAGACUUUUAGACGAUAGCCUUGUCAUCCCACCGUCAUUGAAAAAAACCACGGAAAUAAAAAAAAUAACGAGCAUUGCUCUAAAGGAAAAUAAAAACCACGAGAGAGGACUUGGGUAUUUCUUCAGACAAUUGUUGUAAAUUUGUUUGUAAGAUUUUCCAGAUAAUUUCACAACGUUGCCUGAGACUUUCAGCCGAUACUCUUGACGUUGUCAUUGUCAUUGAGAAAAACCACGUAAUUACACCCACAAGGACACCCCAGACUCAUUAAACGAGAAACGAGUUCGGUUCGACUUCUCGUCUUUCCUUCAUUCCUGGGUGACGUUAACACUAUGUACAAUCUAUUUUUAAAUUGGUCAAGAAGGAUAGGAAUGAUAUCGAACUGAGAGUCAUUUUUUUUUGUAUCUGGAGCGAGAGGGUGUUUCGGGGGUGGAUUUAUACUUUUGUACUGGGGGUUUAUUUCAGGAGACCCCAAUUGGCAAAGGAGGGAGGGUGUUCUCGUGACGAAUCCAUAAAAACGGGGAUAUCCAAAACCAACUGUGUGACACAGACGACUCAUUGCAGAGGGGAAUUAAAGGGGGGCGAAUGUAUUGGAGUCAUGUGUCCUUGUCCACCGAAAAUAUGUGUUUUGUGGAGAGAGACAAUUCCUCAAUUUGAUGAAAAAUUAUUUACUCAUUUAUUUAUUUAUUUAUCACGAUUAAAUUUACAAGUGACCAUUUACUAUUGGUUUUAUAUACAAAAACUCAACUCAAUUUCGGGAAUCGGAAAUUCUGCUUGGAAUUUUUCGUGAUAAUAAAUUAAUCAUUUUGCAUUUGUAUAAACAGAAAAUUCCUGGUUUUUAUUUAUAAUUGUUUGUAAUAUGACUUUUUACUUUCUGCUCCAUUUUUCUUUGAAUUGAAAAUCUCGUAAUUUCGUGGAAGUUUGAUGAAAUUGUCAUUUUCAGGCUGACGAUACUGAAAAAUGAGGGAAAGUAGAGAAAAUUUGGAUAAUGACUUUCUUAAAUUAUCAAGCUAUCCGAAAUUUAAUGGAAUUUAAUGGUCAAUUUUCAUAAUGAGAUUUAAAUUCGAACCUGUCCUUGAAAUAUCAAUGAUCCCUAUCCAUGAAAAUUUAAGUUUAAUUGCGAUUGUUACUGUUGAAUUAGAGAGAAUUAGAGAAAUUUUUAAAUGCCUGAAAGA
Long non-coding RNA from Fopius arisanus, 1578 nucleotides. RefSeq lists it as uncharacterized. The record is from RefSeq and is a predicted model, not a curated record. The transcript is spliced from 2 exons. NCBI's taxonomy places the organism in Eukaryota, Metazoa, Arthropoda, Insecta, Hymenoptera, Braconidae.